AAAUCCAUUAUGACUGAAUGACUAACUCAAAGAUUCAAGAAAUUAUUAUUUAGUUCGUAAAUUACUCAAAACUCUUAAUACUUGAAAUUCCUCAGCUUGUUACAAUCUUCAAUUAAUUGUUUAAUAAGACAAAGAAGAUGAACUCCAAUCAGUAAAGUUUCCUUCUCAUGUAUAAUCUGGUUGAUUCAGCUCUUUUAGAAGGAAGGCAAAACUAAUUUAGGAUGCUGCCCUUAAAUGCUCAGGCCCACUCACGUAGUCUCCCUAGUUCUGACGUCUUAACAUCAGUGGGGAACACUUGAGAAGAUUAGAUGGCAGAAGAGAGAAGGCAGUGGGCCUUGAGAGCAGCAGCUAAGGAGCCUCUCUUGCUCUCUUGAAGAGAGAAGUGUCACCUGGAAAGAGAAACAGGGAGCUGGUAGUCUCAGCGUUUUCCAGAGGAUACCGACUUUUGAGGCAAUGGCCCAGAGUGGCCACAUGUGUCUUGAAUAAUCGAAAUAACCUUUGCCUUUCACCGGGAGCCUCUUAAAGAUCAGAGAAACCAAGGAAGUAAUUUCAAGAUAUAAGAGGAAGUCAACAGGAUCACAUAUACUAAAAGAUGUCAAGGAAAUAAAGAGAGAAAAACUUCCAUUGGAUUUGUGCGGGAGCCUUGAACAAACACGUGUGCUACACGACACACCAGUUCUGGAGCUCCUUCUUGUGUUCUUCCCAAUAACCCCGCCCUGUGUGAAUAUGAAGCAUCAUAUACCUAUAAGGAUCUGAACCUGUGAACCCCAGGCUGCCAAAGAAGAGUGUGUGAACUUAACCACUAUGCCACUGGGCUGGCCCAAAGGCCUUCUGUUUUUAAGAGCGUCUAUAAUAUGGAUAAUAUUCCUGGAAGAAGCUAAAAUAGCAGAAAGCAGGUCACCCAGCUCCUGAGCAUCUGUUGGAAGAGGUCAUUGAGAGGACGUGGUUGACCUGUGAGCUUGUCCUGUCAAUCGGAGGCUCCUCAGCUCCCCCUCUGUCCUUGGAAUGUGCAUUCCACUCACCAUUCCCUCACUAGGAGCUGUUUCAAGGAUGCACCUUUGAUCAAGAGAGCAAUAUGUUAUUGAGGCCAUCUGAAUGGUAUAUGUGACUGAGCCCAGAGACUCGAAGAGAUUUAAGAAACUUGUCCAAAGACGCAAAGCUGAUCAGCCCUGAGCUAACAUCUGCUGCCAAUCCUCCUCUUUUUGCUGAAGAAGACCGGCCCUGAGCUAACAUCCGUGCCCAUCUUCCUCUACUUUAUAUGUGGGACGCCUACCAUAGCAUGGCGUGCCAAGUGGUGCCAUGUCUGCACCCAGGAUCCGAACCAGCGAACCGGGGCCUGCUGAAGCAGAACGUGUGCACUUAACCACUGCGCCACCGGCCCGGCCCCUAAAAAAAAAUUUCAGUUUUGGAAAAUCGGAUUUUAAUAACUUUAACUUGAGAGCAUUUACACAGAAGGUAUGAGAGUAAAACUUUCAUAGGUUUUGGUUAAGUUUACAAGUUUUUCGUUCUCAUUCUCUUGGUCAUAAGGUAUCUCAUCUGUCUCUGUGGUUUAGGGGAGGAAGCCUUCUUUUAACACUACUGUCUACACAGAACAUCAGAAUGAGAUGGUGAGGUAACUAGAAACUUUACUGAUGUGCACGUUGUAUAAUUUAAUUACUUCGUAAACCUAAGCUCAAAAGGAUCAACUAUACAAAGGGAGUUUCAGUUUUUCAUUAUUUGGCAUUUCACAUUAUUAAUAUUUCUUGUUUGGUAGGAUACUUGCAAUUUUGCAUAUUGACUAACAAAGUAAUUAUAGUAUAAUUAUAUCAUUAGCAACAUUUUGUCCUGUUGUUCCUAAGGCUGAAUCCUACAGCAGUUAAAUAUUGAAGUGCUUAGUGAUUAAAAAGUAGGUUCUGUGGUUACCUCUUUGGGGUAACAAUGCUUCUGUUUCUUCUAAUAAGGAAAAGCAGGUGGGAAAAAUACCUAAAAUUGUCCAUUUCAGAAACAAGACUUCUGAAAUGGCAAAGUAAGGAACUCCAAAAAUCUACUCCAUAAAAGCAAUGAGGAUGCUGGAGACAGUGGUCAAUCAGAAUAAACUUUUUCAAAACCCCAGAAAAUAACAAAAGGCUUUACAGUAUAUGAAUUAUAUCUUAAUAAACCAGUUGUAAAAAGGGGCCUGUCUCAUCCAAUCUAGGUUCACCAAAAUAGCUUGCCCAUUUCUGUCUCUGUGGACGGACAUUUAGCUCUCUCCCACUUAUAGACGAUAUUGUGUGGGACAGAAAUUUUGGAGAAAAGUGAAAAAGCAGAAAUAGCCUGAAAAGUAGGCAGCCAGACAGCAAGCAACCAUGUUCAGGGGCAGAGUGGAUGAGUUGUCAGUGCUUGGAAAAUCCCAAUAUUUAACAAAAAUCGAAAGAGGUCUUGUCAAGCCACACAAUGAAAACCCAGCCUCAGACCCCAACAGAUCGCAGAACGAAAGGCCUGGAGUGAGGCAGCAGAGAAUUAAGAAGGGAAUCAGCGGCAUUUGGGUCCCAGUUCAUGUCACAGUUCAGCCACUUACAAGUUAUAUGACAAAUUCUCCACUUUCAGCCUAAAUUCCUCA
Equus caballus (horse) is the source of this 2578-nucleotide long non-coding RNA. Lineage: Eukaryota; Metazoa; Chordata; Mammalia; Perissodactyla; Equidae. The record is from Ensembl.